Long non-coding RNA from Mustela lutreola (European mink), 571 nucleotides. RefSeq lists it as uncharacterized. The transcript is spliced from 2 exons. The record is from RefSeq and is a predicted model, not a curated record. Lineage: Eukaryota; Metazoa; Chordata; Mammalia; Carnivora; Mustelidae.
GUCCCAAGGACACUCAGGCAGCCCAGUGGAGAGACCCCUGGGGUCUCCAGCACAGUCAUGUGAGUGAAGUCCUCAAGGAAGCAGACCCUUCAGCUACAGUCAAACCUGCAGAUGCCUACAGCCCUGGCUGACAUUCUGACUGCAUCCACAAGAAAGCUCUUGAGAUAGAUUCCUGACCUGCAGAAAGCGUGAAAUUAUGAUUGUUUGUGGUGUUAAACUGCUAAAUGUGGGGGUAGUUUGUUAAAUAACAAAAGAUAACUAAUGGAUCCACUUUCCAGAAGCGUGAUGAGGAAUGAGCAAGAUAGAAAAGGUAAAUGGCACCUUCGUCGUGGAUUGAAUUUCCAGGGGAAGGCCUUUUCCCUCAGCACUCUGUAAUGUUCUCCUCCUACCUAGUAGCUGCUCGCAUUUUCCUCUACUGGAUAAUUACUCUACUCCUGCCUCGUGGAUGAUACCUGUCACCAGAUAGAUUUCCUUUUUGCUUUGUAUAUCAGUUGUUAUGUUUUCCUUCAAGUUUUUUUUUUAUAUUUCCCUUCGUUAUUUAAAUUUUGAAAUAUAAUCAGGAUGUGUUUAA